AGGACUGAACUGACUUCAUUCCAGUUUCUAACUUUCAUUUCAUUUCUCAGUCUCUCUCUCUUUCUCAGCUCAGUCUUACUUAAAUCCAACUCCGACCAACCAUUCACCGGCCUACCACCACACGCGGAUCAUCCACCGUUGUCUCUCCCUUCCUUCACGAUGCAGAGUCACCGCCACCACCGGUCUGAGGUCACUCUCUCACGAUUCUCUCUAUCGCAACUCUCUCUCGCGAUUCUCUCUCUUAGGAGUCUUUGACUCUCUCACACGAUUCUAUCUCUCAGAUUCAGACAUAGGUAAAUAAAUAUGGGAAUUAAUUUAGGGUUUGAAAUUUAAUUUAGGGUUUGUGUAAUUUAAUUUACGAAUUCUAGAUUAGGGUUUGUAAUUUUAUUGUUUUUGAAAUUUAAUUUUCGAAUUCUAGAUUAGGGUUUGUAAAUUUAGGGUUUGUUUGGUUUCACAGAUCAAAUUCUAUUUAAUUGAUCUAAUGGUUCAGGUUCUUGGGUUUUUGCAGAUUGGUGAAGGUCCGAAGGAACUGGGCUCUUUUGCUUUGCUACUGUGCUGGAGUUUUAUUUGCCAACAACAACAGGUAAAUUUCUCAGAUGAGUUUUAUUUAAUUUUAUGCUCUCUUGAAUUGUAUGCUUCUUUGAUAUAAUUGUUGCUUUAAGGAAUCUAAGCUUUUGGAGCUUUGGUAUAUUUACAUUAGUCAUUGGUUGACCUUUUGUAAUAGGUUGUGGCUUAAUUUAAUACUCUCUCAAUGCAAACUGUUUAAUACUCUCUCGAUUCUGAUUUAAUAUGUUGUGGUUUAAUACUCUAUCAGAUUCCGAUUUAAUUCUCUCUCAGAUUCUGGUUUAAUAGCAUAUGUGGAGGUUAUUCUCUUCUAGUAGGAAGCCAUUAUUAAUAAAAUGGAUGUCACAUUAGCGACCCAUAUUUACCAAUAUUGAUCAAAGCUUAAGCAAGAUCAAAACUUUUGUCUUUUUAUGAGAAUUACUUGGGGUACUAGGCAGACAACAUUACUGAUGGUAUUUCAAAUGUUGUUUUGUUGGUGUGUUAUUGUUAAUAGAGAAGGUGUACAAACCAAUGCCACAAGGACAUCAAGGACAAGGUAAUUCUGUUUGCCUCAACCGAGUAGGAUUUAUCUCCUUUCUAGCCUUGUCUAGCUUCUCCAUAUUUACCGUUAUGAAUGACUGUAAACAUCCUAUAUGGAUUAAAUUCGAGAUGUAAAGUACAUGUACUGUCGAUUUGCUAUGUCAACUUGGCCCAUCACAAUUUCUUGUUUGUGUGGUGAGCAUGCUCGACAAGAUUCUUCAAACUUGAAGGGAAAAAUGCAUAGUUGAACAAACUCUGUCUCCGUCUUCUUUGUAGCGUUUCUUUUACUUUCUGUUGUAUAUAUUCUCGUUUAAGCUUACCAUCAAGAACUUGAAGGGUAAAAUGCAUAGUUUAUCGCCCCUUUUGAAUUUAGUUGAGAUGAUUGGUUGAAUGUAUUUUUAAGCGGGAACAGAUCAAAGUUUAAGCAAGCUAUUUCUAGAUGAGCCACAUAUAGGCAGAUUUGUGCACAGAUUAGGCAUAUUGCUUUUGAAUAGGCAAAUUGGGCAUGCCUAUAUGUCAAAUUUUCAAUAUAAAAUGUUGAAUUUUAGCCCAAAAACAUAAUAUGUCAAUUUUUGGUCCAAAAGCCCAAAAGCCCAAAACCAUUUCAGGAUUCCCGAUUUGUCCCGAAAUCCUGAAACUGUUUCGGGAUUCCCAAAAAUUGGGAUUCCCAAAAAUUUGGUUUGGGAUUGGUAUUGAAAUUGGGAUUCCCAAAAAUUUCAGUUUGGGAAUCAGGACAAGGGUUUCGGUAUGGGAUCCCAUACCGAACCACCCUUAAAAAUUAUUGUUUCACUAAUGGAGGUUCAAUGCAGAGUCACUCCUUCAUGAUGCAUAACGAUUCGUCUUUUGCCAAUCUUAAUUUUCUUCUUUUCUUUUCAAUUAAUAUUAAAAAUGAGUGGGGAAUGUUGAUGCAUUUUGAAUAUUAAAUACAUUAAUUAUUUGGUGUUAGGGAGAAAUUCAUAUGGUUGUCAUUAUCUUUUAUUAGUGGGAAAUUAAGAUGGAAUCUUUUAACCUUCUUCUUAUGUAACGGUUGCAACUCUUUUCUUGUUAAUUUUAGUGUAUUACCCUAUUCAAUUAUGGUGAUAAGAGACCUAUAAUCAAUAGUAUUUUCUCCAGCAUUCUUUUAUUCAUUAUUCACUACCUAAUCUCUUCUACAACUAUUAUUAUCUCCAUUUCCUCUAUUUUUUUUCUUUCUAUUUUUACUUAUUGGCCAAACAAGGGUGUUCGUGUGGUGGAGCUUUGGUCUCUUCCUUUUCUGUAGAUAGGUUUAAGUCACACAAUGAUUCAAUUGGGUUGUUGUAUCAUGGAGGGAAUAAGUCAAAAGAUAUACUCGCACCUCAGCCUAAUUUGUCAUUGUAAACAAAAAAAAAAAUCCCUUGACAAAUGAAAUAUUUUUGUCAAUCAAAAUACGGUUUCGUCGCCUAAACUUUUAACCAAUGAAACUUUAUUGAGCAAAGUAGGUCACUCAAAGGUUUACCUGACGAAACUUAGCCACCAUCAGGCAAUUGUAUUUUGCCCGACAGAGUUUUCGACGACUAUUUGUUGCGCAAAACAGCUUAAACAAACUACGCUCGAUGAACUACACAUGUCUAGACUUGGCAUUCGUGUCGUGUUUUAUGUGUUCGUGUCGUUUUCGUAUCAUACCCGAUAUCUUAACGGGUCGUGUCGUGUAACACCUGUUAAAAUAAAUGGGUAAAAUGACCCGACCCGAAAUCGACCCCGAUAAUAUUAACAGGUAAUAUGACCCGACCUGUUACUCGUUAAGGAAAAUAUAUUUUAAACCAAUAAAUAAUCAAAUGAAAAACAUAAUUCUAAAUAAGUAUAUACAUAUCAUAUUGUCACAUCCAAAACAUAAAAAUGCAAUUUUCUUUUAAGUACAUUUUCACUUACCUAAAGUCUUUAAUAGUUUUUUAAUUAAUGUAGAAGUGUAAAAAAAUAUAGAAAUAUAUAUAUAAAUGCUCGUAAUGAUAAGCUUUACAACUUUCAUGAAGAGCUUAACUUCGAAAUUCACCACUAUAAUCAUAUAAAUCAUAGAUCAAAAUUUAACCGUUGAUUGUUGUUUACAUUUAUGUUUCAUUGUUCUCAUCAUAUUUUAUUUUUUCAUAUUUUAUUUUUUGAAAACUUGAUAUAUUAGAGGUUGCAGGAAGAUGAACGAUUAGGUUCGUUGAUAUUAUAUUCAGAGUUUUAAGGCUAGUGAAAAUAUUGUUUGAUGUUUAUAAAGUUUCUACAAACUAUAUGACAUCGAUUAAUAUUUCAGUUAAUCGUAAAUAUUGAAACGUGAUAUCAAAGAUCUGACUCAUACAUCUUCUUACAUCCACCAGAUGAUCAUGUUUUCAAAAAAGAAAAUUUAAAAAAUGAAAUUCAGUAAGAAGAAUAAAGCGUAAAUGACAAUCAAUGGUCAAAUAUACAUUUAAGGUUUAUGAAUUAUAGUGUUGGAUUUCGAAGUUGACCCCUUCAUGAAAGUUGUAAAGUUUGUCACUAUGAGUGAUUGUAUAUUUUUUUUACAUUUUGUACACUUCUACAAUAAUUAUUAUUAAUUUUAUUAAUUUUUCCCUCAAAUAAAAAACAUUAUUCAUGAAGGUUUGGAGGAUUUUAAAAAUCUAAACGAUAAUGUAAGUGUAACCAUUAUCUACUCGUAGAGGAAAAAUGAUGAAUCACGAGUGUUUAUAUAUUCUUUCACAAUUUUCAUACUUGUAUGUAUGUCUUUUUAAUUCUUACCUAUAUAAAUACUAUAUUAGUUUAUUUUAUUUUUGGACAACAACAUGUUAAGUAAAAUUUAUCCUAGUAAUGAUAAUAAGGAACUCUCAUAAUAAAAAUAAAUAAUGACUAAAACGUUUUUUUAAAACUUAUAUAGAAUAAUAAUACAAAACUAUAUAUUAAAUAUAGAAUAUAUUGUAUUUAUUAAUAUGGCUAUUGGAUUUUAUAAUAA
This 4009-nucleotide long non-coding RNA is filed under the name Malus domestica (apple). RNAcentral's name for it is "long non-coding RNA (MDOM_LNC015715)". The record is from RNAcentral. Lineage: Eukaryota; Viridiplantae; Streptophyta; Magnoliopsida; Rosales; Rosaceae.